Oncorhynchus tshawytscha (Chinook salmon) is the source of this 677-nucleotide long non-coding RNA. The record is from Ensembl. Lineage: Eukaryota; Metazoa; Chordata; Actinopteri; Salmoniformes; Salmonidae.
GGGGAGAGGAGAGAGACGGGGGAGAGGUGAGAGACGGAGGAGAGGAGAGAGACGGAGGAGAGGUGAGAGACGGGGGAGAGGAGAGAGACGGAGGAGAGGUGAGAGACGGAGGAGAGGUGAGAGACGGAGGAGAGGUGAGAGACGGAGGAGAGGUGAGAGACGGAGGAGAGGGGAGAGAGACGGAGGAGAGGUGAGGCACGGGGGAGAGGAGAGAGACGGAGGAGAGGAGAGAGACGGAGGAGAGGAGAGAGACGGGGGGAGAGGUGAGAGACGGAGGAGAGGUGAGAGACGGAGGAGAGGUGAGAGACGGGGGAGUGGAGAGAGACGGGGGAGAGGAGAGAGACGGAGGAGAGGAGAGAGACGGAGGAGAAGUGAGAGACGGGGGAGAGGAGAGAGACGGAGGAGAUGUGAGAGACGGGGGAGAGGAGAGAGACGGAGGAGAGGAGAGAGACGGAGGAGAGUAGAGAGACGGAGGAGAGGAGAGAGACGGAGGAGAGUAGAGAGAUGGAGGAGAGGAGAGAGAGAGGAGAGGAGAGAGACGGAGGAGAGGAGAGGAGAGAGACGGGGAGAGGAGAGAGACGGAGGAGAGGUGAGAGACGGAGGAGAGGUGAGAGACGGAGGAGAGGAGAGAGACGGAGGAGAGGGGAGAGACGGGAGAGGAGAGAGACGGAGGAGAG